RNAcentral lists this ribosomal RNA (429 nucleotides) under Acidobacteriota bacterium. RNAcentral's name for it is "Acidobacteria bacterium partial 16S ribosomal RNA". It matches the Rfam family "Bacterial small subunit ribosomal RNA", at positions 355 to 776 of the family's 1533-position model. The record is from RNAcentral. Lineage: Bacteria; Pseudomonadati; Acidobacteriota.
UGGGGAAUUUUGGUCAAUGGGGGAAACCCUGAUCCAGCCAUCCCGCGUGUGCGAUGAAGGCCUUCGGGUUGUAAAGCACUUUUGGCAGGAAAGAAACGUCAUGGGUUAAUACCCCGUGAAACUGACGGUACCUGCAGAAUAAGCACCGGCUAACUACGUGCCAGCAGCCGCGGUAAUACGUAGGGUGCAAGCGUUAAUCGGAAUUACUGGGCGUAAAGCGUGCGCAGGCGGUUCGGAAAGAAAGAUGUGAAAUCCCAGAGCUCAACUUUGGAACUGCAUUUUUAACUACCGGGCUAGAGUGUGUGAGAGGGAGGUGGAAUUCCGCGUGUAGCAGUGAAAUGCGUAGAUAUGCGGAGGAACACCGAUGGCGAAGGCAGCCUCCUGGGAUAACACUGACGCUCAUGCACGAAAGCGUGGGGAGCAAACAGG